GUGUGCUUUGUCUGACUGGGCCACGCAGGCCCCAAACUUGUCCUGGACUCCAUAGCACAAGAUGUACACUACGAGUAAGUAAUAUACACACACAUAUCUUCACACGUAAGUAUGUAUCAUGGACACAUGUUAAAUGUAAGUACUUUUAUGAUACAUAUUUUUAUACUAGGUAAAUAGACGUUUUAUCUGUACACUUCUGUAUACUGUAUGUGCUGAGAUGAGUUUAUAUGUGCAUGUGUUAAGAAUAUAUAUAUGUAUAUAUAUACCAGAUCCUGCUUAAUUUUAACAGGCAUUGUUAUAGAAAUUUUUGACAUCAAUGGAGCAGUGAUACUUCUCCUUCAAUCUUGUAGUGUAAUGAGUUAUGUUAAUUGACUUCCCAAUACUCAAUUCUCUUUGAAUGCUUGGGAUUUUUCUUUUGGUACAAUUGUACUGGUUUUUUUUUUUCCUGGUACCAGGAAUCCAGUUCAGGACGUCGUGCUUGCCAGGCAGACCCUAUGGCCCUGAGCUACUCCCUCAGCCUCUUUUGUAUUUUUAAAAAAGUGAUUUUGGAUUUCAGUUGCCAUACUUUAUGUUCUGAUAUUUGUAAGUGGUUUGGAUCAGAGCCAAUAAUCCAGUUUGUUUAAUUAUGGACUUUUUCUUUGGUUUUCCUGAAUUUUAUGGUUAAUUUGAAUGUAAUCUUUAAACUCAUUUAGGGAGACCUCAGGGGAGCAAAUUUUACCAGGUCCUUUUUUGUAACUGGUGUUCAGUGUGAAUUUUAUGUGCAGAUAUCAUUUAAACUUAAGUAUCAUGAAGGCCACAGCCUUGUCUCCUACCCUUGCAUGCCUUUUAAGACUCGAUAAAGUUACCUGAGAUUACUUCAGUGUAUAAAGAAAUAUUUGUGUGAGAAAGAGAGAGAGAGAGAGAGAGAGAGAGAGAGAGAGAGAGAGAGAGAAAGAGAGAAAGAAAAUAACCUAGAGAAAGGGCACAGUGCCUUUUACAAUCUAGUUGCAGAGUGAUAAACCAUUAUUUCCUCCUUAUUGAAUUGGUCAGAGAAAAAUGCUAGCAGAUUGUGGAAGAGACUGCACAAGGUGCUAAGACCAGGGAUUGGGGAUCAUUUGGAGCUGUAAAUUUGUAUUAAUUCUGGUCUGUACUGACGGUUUUGACAGCACAGGUACAAUAAAAUUAGAUGCCAGAAUAGAUACCUGAGAGUGUUACAGGAUAUCUAAAGAGAAAAGAAAAUAUAAAUAGAAGGUUUUUAGUUUUGCAUACAAACUUUUAUUUAGCUACUAGUGGACUUGAUUGUUUAAAAAGAAUAAUUUCACCAUGAUUUUGGAUCCUGAGGGAAUAAACUACUCAUAUGUCAACAUGAAAGAUAUUUUAGGAUCACUGAAGAAGAGUAGAGAGUCAAAAAUUUUUGAAGUGUAUUAAUGUAAACUCUUCUGACAAGAGUUCAGAACAGUUCUGUUUUCCAAAAGUGAGACCAAUAAGCUGAAUUUAGGGUUUAUCGCUUUCAGAAUUAUAGUAGAGGGGCUGGCAGUUUAGUUCAGUAAUGCAGUGUUUGCCUGGCAAAUGUGAGGUCCUGAAUUUGAUUCCUUACCAAAAAAAGAA
Cavia porcellus (domestic guinea pig) is the source of this 1587-nucleotide long non-coding RNA. RefSeq lists it as uncharacterized. NCBI's taxonomy places the organism in Eukaryota, Metazoa, Chordata, Mammalia, Rodentia, Caviidae. The transcript is spliced from 2 exons. The record is from RefSeq and is a predicted model, not a curated record.